RNAcentral lists this long non-coding RNA (719 nucleotides) under Mytilus galloprovincialis (Mediterranean mussel). The record is from RNAcentral. Lineage: Eukaryota; Metazoa; Mollusca; Bivalvia; Mytilida; Mytilidae.
AUAUCUUAAUAUUGUUAAAAAAUUUGAAGAUAGACGGAGUCUAACAAGAUUUCGCAUAUCUGCUCACCAUUUACUUAUAUAGAGAGAGGUAGAUAUAGUAAUACUCCCCGACACAAUAGAAUUUGUAAGAGAUGUUGUAGUAAUGAGGUCGAAGAUGAAACACAUUUUCUUUUCAACUGUGAUAGUUUAUCGGACCAAAGGAAAGACAUGAUAACAAUGAUAAAUAAUUGCUGCAAGAAUUUUAAAAAUCUUGACCUUAACCAAAAACUGAUAUGGUUAAUGAAUAAUGAAGAUGAGAAUUUAUUAUCAGAAUUAUGCAUGUUCAUUAAGAAAUAUGAAAAGUGUUAAUGGGAUUUAUUUCCCUCUACUACUUGUAAUUUGAACUUUAUAUUUUCUCUAUAGUGAGUUCUAGAGCACCGUCCCUUGAUGAAUAUUGCCCAGUAGCAAUGUCAACCCUUGCUGCUGUGCAUUAAUCAUGAGGAGAAUCACUAUUGGAGUUAUCUCAUAUAUCUGUAGCUAGUUCUGAAGGAUCUCCCCUUGAUGACCUUUGCAUUGUUGUGAUGUAAAAGUCCCUCACUGCUGUGCACUUGUCAUGAGGAGAACUACUGCAAAAUGAGACACUAUAUUCCUGGUUCUAUUUUUACUUUUUGUUUCCGUAUUAAUAAACUUUAUAUCAUAUUCUUUUAAUAUUAAAUCGACCUCGUUGCACUCAAUGCCUC